CUCAUUGAUUCUUCGAGUUGAGAGAGAGAGAGAGAGAGAGAGAGAGAGAGAGAGACGAUAUAGACAGAUCAAAUUUUCCGAAACAUUUAAGAUCUGUUGUCGUUGGUCUCAAUUGAUCAACUCCUGAUUCUUGUGAUAAUGGACAAGAUAGGAUGGGAAACAAGGUUCUACAACUGUAAACGGGAGUAGUAUACUAGCUAGGUUAAUUCUGAUUCCUAGUCAAAACGGUGCUAUUCUCGCAAUUCAGACGAGAUCUACUCGGAGGAGAUAUCUGAGUUACAAAUUUUGCCCAGACCCAUUUGUGCCUGAUAAUUGAAGUGUGAGAAGUGAGUUAGCUCAUGUGUGUACCCAAGUCUACGGCGAGGUGGAGAAAGCCCCAGGAGAGAGGGAAGAACAACAUGAGGUUGUUUAGUGAGACAGAUCGAAGCAGGAUACACAAUACGUUUGUUGUUUUUUGCUAACCGAUCGAUACAAUACGUUUGUUCUGCACAAAUGAGAACAUCAUGUGGAUGCUUGGAGUGAGAGGAGAAGAAGAUAACAAGUAGUGAAUGGAAGCGUAAGGGGGCAUGAUGGAAAUAUAAGGUUUGAUUAGUAGUGAAUGGGAUAUGCAUGGUUGGAUUAGAGCUGAUGAGUGGGUCAAGGGUGUCUUCAGGCAGUGGUUGAGUUUUGGUGCCUUAUGAAGAUGACAACAUAAAUGAUUAUGCAGGGUAUCUCUGGCAUAAUUGUGUAUGUUGAAUGAUUUAUGCUUGGCUGCCUUUUAAUUUGCAGUCUUUCAUUUCCAAGAGGAAUUAACGGGAUUGCAUUGUUAUUUUGGGUGGUUUAUUUUUUAUUUUUUUUCCCUUUUCAUAUGCCCCACCCCUUUUUUGAUGUACCCUUGUCGAGUUUUAUUUAUAAACUUUUUUUUUUUUUUUUUGGUCAUCAAUAAAAAAUAAUGCUUUGGAUAA
Molecule: long non-coding RNA, 944 nt
Organism: Rhododendron vialii
Lineage: Eukaryota; Viridiplantae; Streptophyta; Magnoliopsida; Ericales; Ericaceae
Exons: 2
Source: RefSeq, a predicted model, not a curated record